GUCAUGAUGGCCGAGUGGUUAAGACGUUGGACUUGAAAUCCAAUGGGAUCUUCCCGCAUAGGUUCUAACCCUGCUCUUGACG
Non-coding RNA from Mizuhopecten yessoensis (Yesso scallop), 82 nucleotides. The record is from the annotation of a RefSeq genome assembly. Lineage: Eukaryota; Metazoa; Mollusca; Bivalvia; Pectinida; Pectinidae.